GAGCAGUGGAGGAGCAGGAGGCUGUGGAGGAGCAGCUCUGUGCAGCCUCCUGCCCUGGCCCCGAGCUGUGGAGCCGCUGCGGUCGGCACAGUGCCCGGGCAAAUGGGGCUGGCUCUGCAGCCCAGUGCCAUUCAGCAGCUCCCAAACCAGACCUGACUUGCUCCCUGCCAGCUCCAGAGCAGCCUGAGCAGGGUGGAUAGACAUGCCCUGAGGAUAUGUCUGCAUUGCAGUGCAGAGACAUUUCUUCAGCCUUUGGAAAUCCAGUGUCCCAAGCAAAAUUAAACUGGCAGAGAAAACUGAAGCAAGAAGGGAAUUGUGUGCCCUCAGAGAGAAAAUUAAAAAGUUUUUUUAACUGGAAUUGUGUGUGACAAGUGUGACAAGGCUUGGCUAUUAAAAGGCUGUGUUGCAAGAU
This is a long non-coding RNA of Serinus canaria (Common canary), 412 nucleotides long. RefSeq lists it as uncharacterized. The transcript is spliced from 2 exons. NCBI's taxonomy places the organism in Eukaryota, Metazoa, Chordata, Aves, Passeriformes, Fringillidae. The record is from RefSeq and is a predicted model, not a curated record.